RNAcentral lists this ribosomal RNA (557 nucleotides) under uncultured bacterium. Its description in RNAcentral is "bacterial SSU rRNA". It matches the Rfam family "Bacterial small subunit ribosomal RNA", at positions 777 to 1328 of the family's 1533-position model. The record is from RNAcentral.
AAUAGAUACCCCCGGGUAGUCCACGCCGUAAACGAUGAGUGCUAAGUGUUAGGGGGUUUCCGCCCCUUAGUGCUGCAGCUAACGCAUUAAGCACUCCGCCUGGGGAGUACGGUCGCAAGACUGAAACUCAAAGGAAUUGACGGGGGCCCGCACAAGCGGUGGAGCAUGUGGUUUAAUUCGAAGCAACGCGAAGAACCUUACCAGGUCUUGACAUCCCAUUGACCACUAUGGAGACAUAGUUUUCCCUUCGGGGACAACGGUGACAGGUGGUGCAUGGUUGUCGUCAGCUCGUGUCGUGAGAUGUUGGGUUAAGUCCCGCAACGAGCGCAACCCUUGUUCUUAGUUGCCAUCAUUUAGUUGGGCACUCUAAGGAGACUGCCGGUGACAAACCGGAGGAAGGUGGGGAUGACGUCAAAUCAUCAUGCCCCUUAUGACCUGGGCUACACACGUGCUACAAUGGACGGUACAAACGGUUGCCAACCCGGCAGGGGGGAGCUAAUCCGGAUAAAACCGUUCUCAGUUCGGAUUGUAGGCUGCAACUCGCCUACAUGAAGCCG